GAUGAACGCUGGCGGCGUGCUUAACACAUGCAAGUCGAACGAAGCACUUUAACCUGAUUCUUCGGAUGAAGGUUUUUGUGACUGAGUGGCGGACGGGUGAGUAACGCGUGGGUAACCUGCCUCAUACAGGGGGAUAACAGUUAGAAAUGACUGCUAAUACCGCAUAAGACCACAGAGCCGCAUGGCUCGGUGGGAAAAACUCCGGUGGUAUGAGAUGGACCCGCGUCUGAUUAGGUAGUUGGUGGGGUAACGGCCUACCAAGCCAACGAUCAGUAGCCGACCGGAGAGGGUGACCGGCCACAUUGGGACUGAGACACGGCCCAAACUCCUACGGGAGGCAGCAGUGGGGAAUAUUGCACAAUGGGGGAAACCCUGAUGCAGCGACGCCGCGUGAGCGAAGAAGUAUUUCGGUAUGUAAAGCUCUAUCAGCAGGGAAGAAAAUGACGGUACCUGACUAAGAAGCACCGGCUAAAUACGUG
Molecule: ribosomal RNA, 479 nt
Filed under: uncultured bacterium
Lineage: Bacteria
Description: partial 16S ribosomal RNA
Rfam family: Bacterial small subunit ribosomal RNA
Source: RNAcentral